Molecule: ribosomal RNA, 253 nt
Filed under: uncultured bacterium
Lineage: Bacteria
Description: partial 16S ribosomal RNA
Rfam family: Bacterial small subunit ribosomal RNA
Source: RNAcentral
UACAGAGGGUGCAAGCGUUAAUCGGAAUUACUGGGCGUAAAGGGCGCGUAGGCGGAUAUUUAAGUUUGGUGUGAAAUCCCUGGGCUUAACCUAGGAACUGCAUUGAAAACUGAAUGACUAGAGUACUGUAGAGGGUAGUGGAAUUUCCGGUGUAGCGGUGAAAUGCGUAGAGAUCGGAAGGAACACCAGUGGCGAAGGCGGCUACCUGGACAGAUACUGACGCUGAGGCGCGAGAGCGUGGGGAGCAAACAGG